Molecule: ribosomal RNA, 253 nt
Filed under: uncultured bacterium
Lineage: Bacteria
Description: partial 16S ribosomal RNA
Rfam family: Bacterial small subunit ribosomal RNA
Source: RNAcentral
UACGAAGGGGGCUAGCGUUGCUCGGAAUUACUGGGCGUAAAGCGCACGUAGGCGGAUCUUUAAGUCAGGGGUGAAAUCCUGGAGCUCAACCCCGGAACUGCCCUUGAAACUGGAGAGCUAGAAUCUUGGAGAGGCGAGUGGAAUUCCGAGUGUAGAGGUGAAAUUCGUAGAUAUUCGGAAGAACACCAGUGGCGAAGGCGACUCGCUGGACAAGUAUUGACGCUGAGGUGCGAAAGCGUGGGGAGCAAACAGG